UGAAUUCAAAAGAAAAAACAAGCGGUAUUUAAAAUCAAAAUGACUUAUUCACCACAAAGAUGUACGAAUGUUCUACUUCCCAAUACCAGUACCUAAAAAGAAAAUUCACCACAAAGAUGUACAAGUCUUUCUACUACAUAUUCACAACAACAAUGUAAAAGUGUUCCACUGCAUAAUUUACAACAAAUCAAAAUGAUUUAUUCACCACAAAGAUAUACACUCCUGCUGCGUUAUUGCAUCCAACUUCUUCAUUUUCUCACUCCCUUCUACCCAUUUUCUCACCACGAAUCACAGUGUUUCUUUGUCAUGGCCUAAUUUUGAACUGCUUAUGACCUUAUGACUUGAUCCAUACUUUGCAAUCCAUAAUAUCUGGCAAUCACUCCAACAUCACAAGUGGCCAUCAUUGCAGUUGUCAACUUCGCAAUUCCCAAUGCAAUUGCCUGUCCUUUGGUGCUAGGUGUACAGGUAAAGUUUCAACAAUUUUUUACGAGUUUCCACUCGGCAUUUUUACAUUGGUCCUUGACAAAAACACACAACAAUGGCACCAUAUAGGUGCUGCCAAGCAGCCUGUAAACAAUUCCCCUGUACAAGGGGAACACCACUUUCCUUCCAACGUCAAUAUCAUUCUCAAACCUUACCAACUUUGGGAUCAUCAACUUCGCCCAGACACAAAUGGCAUUCACCGCCGAAUCCUUCACCACCAGCCCUUAUAACUAGUCAAAAGAACCUCAUACGGCAGAAUCCCUCACCACCACUCCAUUAUCUUCAACCCAACAGAUUUCUAUACUCUGGUUGUAAUAUUAUUGCAAUUUUCCACCAUAUGCAACUUCCUUUUUAUACCAUAGGCAACAUCCUUCCUCUUCUUUAUCAAUUAAUCAAUAUCAGCAUCCUUUUCUCUGGUAUUCUGCGUCCGAUCGGAAGGUUUUUCUAGUGGGUCGGAUUCUUUGCUUUUGCUUUUCUUCUUCUUUUUCUCUUAGUGAGAAAUUUAAAUACUGGCCAUGGCAAUGAGGAAAAAACAGAGGAGAAUUUAGUAUGGAAAUCGAGUUGAUUUGGGGAAGAAAUCAAUUUAGGUUUUACUUCAAAGAUUGGGGAAAUUGAAAUUUUGAUUUGAGAUGGAAAAAGAGUUUCUUUUUAGAAUGGGUUUUUGUCCAAGUUGUCGAGUUUUAACGCCGUUUAAUACCACAUAAGAUUUCCAUCCGCAACAUGUAUUUUUU
This 1214-nucleotide long non-coding RNA is filed under the name Olea europaea subsp. europaea. Lineage: Eukaryota; Viridiplantae; Streptophyta; Magnoliopsida; Lamiales; Oleaceae. The record is from RNAcentral.